UCCGAGUUGACCCCGGCAGUCUCCCAUGAGUCCCCGGCAUAACCCGCUGGCAACAUGGGACAAGGGUUGCGCUCGUUGCGGGACUUAACCCAACAUCUCACGACACGAGCUGACGACAGCCAUGCACCACCUGUCACCCAGUCCGAAGAGGCACCUAUCUCUAGAUGUUUCCGGGUGAUGUCAGACCCAGGUAAGGUUCUUCGCGUUGCGUCGAAUUAAACCACAUGCUCCGCUGCUUGUGCGGGUCCCCGUCAAUUCCUUUGAGUUUUAGCCUUGCGGCCGUACUCCCCAGGCGGGGCACUUAAUGCGUUAGCGCCGGCACGGGAGGAGUCGACACCUCCCACACCUAGUGCCCAUCGUUUACGGCGUGGACUA
This 375-nucleotide unclassified non-coding RNA is filed under the name uncultured Actinomycetes bacterium. RNAcentral describes it as "uncultured actinobacterium contains 16S-23S intergenic spacer region". The record is from RNAcentral. Lineage: Bacteria; Bacillati; Actinomycetota; Actinomycetes.